This 462-nucleotide ribosomal RNA is filed under the name uncultured bacterium. RNAcentral describes it as "partial 16S ribosomal RNA". It matches the Rfam family "Bacterial small subunit ribosomal RNA", at positions 28 to 507 of the family's 1533-position model. The record is from RNAcentral.
GAUGAACGCUGGCGGCGUGCCUAACACAUGCAAGUCGAGCGGAAAGGCCCUUCGGGGUACUCGAGCGGCGAACGGGCGAGUAACACGUGAGUAAGCUGCUCCAGACUCUGGGAUAAUCCUCGGAAACGGGGGCUAAUACCGGAUACGACACAGCUUUGCAUGGGGUCUGUGUGGAAAGUUUUGCGGUGUGGGAUGGGCUCGUGGUCUAUCAGCUUGCGAGUGGGGUGAUGGUUUAUCAAGGCGGCGCCGGAUAGCCGACCUGGGAGCGGAGACGGGCACACUAGGACUAAGGCACGGAGCAGACUGGAACGGGAGGCAGCGGUGGAAAGUAUUACACAGUGGGCGGGAGCGUGAUACGAAGGCGCCGGGUGAGGAAUGACGGCCUUCGGGUUGUGAACCUCUUUCAGCAGAGACGAGGCGUAAGUGACGGUACCUACAGAAGAAGCGCCGGCCAACUACGUG